GCCGACGUGGUGAAACUGGUAGACACGCUGUCUUGAGGGGGCAGUGGCGAAAGCCGUGGGAGUUCGAGUCUCCCCGUCGGCACCA
RNAcentral lists this transfer RNA (85 nucleotides) under Betaproteobacteria bacterium. RNAcentral describes it as "tRNA-Leu". It matches the Rfam family "tRNA". Rfam says of the family: Transfer RNA (tRNA) molecules are approximately 80 nucleotides in length. Their secondary structure includes four short double-helical elements and three loops (D, anti-codon, and T loops). The record is from RNAcentral. Lineage: Bacteria; Pseudomonadati; Pseudomonadota; Betaproteobacteria. RNAcentral also lists the same sequence under 1 other name.